UUAUUGCACACAGAGUCCAUGCAACUUCUUAUGUGACUUGUUAAGCACUAUUAUUGCACACAGAGUCCAUGCAACUUCUUAUGUGACUUGUUAAGCACUAUCAUUGCACACAGAGUCCAUGCAACUUCUUAUGUGACUUGUUAAGCACUAUUAUUGCACACAGAGUGAGUCCUUUCAACUUCUUAUGUGACUUGUUAAGCACUAUUAUUGCACUCAGAGUGAGUCCUUUCAACUUCUCAUGUAACUUGUUAAGUGUAAUCCAUUUUAAAUUCAAAAUGUGGCCAAAGUCAAGGGGUAUGAAUACUUUCUGAAAACAGAAUUUGUAUGCAAAUCUCAGUCUUGAAAUCUAGAUGGUUGGGAUAGAGUCUUUUAAAAAUAGAUGCUGGUGGUUGGUGGUUUUUUCUAUAAGCAUCUACCUAAACGUGUGUGUGCAUGCGUGCGUGUGUGUGUGUGUGUGUGUGUGUGUGCGUGCGUGCGUGUGUGUGUGUUGCUGUGUGGUUAGGUGUGGAGAGGAUGUUGGAAGUGAUCUGAUGUUUUCCUGCUGAUCGCUGUGUUUUUUUUGUCUCCAGUGAAGAAUGGCAGACAGGAAGCGCUCCUCCCUGGGAGCUGAUGUCACUUCCUGUCCAGUGCUGGCCCGUUGUGUGGGUGCCUGACAGAGGUGACAUGGCCCUGCCCUGACAGAUGUGCAGGUCGCACAGUUCACACGUUUCAUCUGAUUUAUAAACACCAAAGGCUUUCUUUGUGUUAAAGCUUGUAAAAUGCAUAGAAAUGAUGAGGAAAUUACAACUUAGUUUGGGUCUCUACUCAGUGGGACUGAUGUGAGACUUAUUCAAAUUCUAGCUCAGAUUGACAUCCAUCGGGAGUUCUGGGGCUACCAGUAGAGAAGCUGUGCUACAGAGAUGGAUGAAGUGAAUGUAUGUCAGAGAGGGAGCUGGUUUCAAGUCACUCUGCUUCAAGUUCACAUUCUGCCAAGAGGGUGUCAUAUUUUAACUCUAAUUUCUAUUGGCUCAGAAAAGUAAAAAUGUCAGACUAGAAAAUCUAAUGAGGUAUCCCAUAUUUUUCUAUGUAGGCCACUACCUCAUUUGUCUUGAAUAAUAGCUGGCUACACACACACUCACAUUAACACACACACACACACACACACACACACACACACACACACACACACACACACACACACACACACACACACCUGGGUUCUCACUAAUCUCAUUAGCUCUCAUCAGCGGGCUGAGAUCACAGAGCUAGGCGCCUCACUGACUGCUGUGUUCACAACAACAACCGCAUCACAUUAGCCAUCAUCCCUACUCCUACACCCCUGUCUGUACCACUUCCCAAAAUACUCCUACCUACCUGGCAUCACAUCACACACACACACACACACACACACACACACACACACACACACACACACACACACACACACACACACACACACACACACACACACACACACACACACACACACACACACACACACAGACACACACACACACACACACACACACACACAAACACACUAGACUGCUAGAAUGUAUCCCUCAUGACAUUCAUAUAAACAUUAUGGUUGAUAUUUUCCUGAUAUUUUGCCCGAGAAUAAAUCACCUUUCUCCUGGGUACCCCGGUAUUGAAAAGCAUCAUAAAGCAUCAUAAAGCAUCAUUUGAUUAGACUUAGAUUGAUUUGAUUAGAGCUUUGAUCAGCAUUAAUGGGGCGGCAGGUAGCCUAGUGGUUAGAGUGUAGGGGCGGCAGGGAGCCUAGUGGUUGGAGUGUGGGGGGCGGCAGGUAGCCUAGUGGUUAGAGUGUAGGGGCGGCAGGUAGCCUAGUGGUUAGAGUGUAGGGGCGGCAGGUAGCCUAGUGGUUAGAGUGUAGAGGCGGCAGGUAGCCUAGUGGUUAGAGUGUAGGGGCGGCAGGUAGCCUAGUGGUUAGAGUGUAGGAGCGGCAGGUAGCCUAGUGGUUAGUGUGUAUGGGCGGCAGGUAGCCUAGUGGUUAGAGUGUAUGGGCGGCAGGUAGCCUAGUGGUUAGAGUGUAGUGGCGGCAGGUAGCCUAGUGGUUAGAGUGUAUGGGCGGCAGGUAGCCUAGUGGUUAGAGUGUAGUGGCGGCAGGUAGCCUAGUGGUUAGAGUGUAUGGGCGGCAGGUAGCCUAGUGGUUAGAGUGUAGGGGCGGCAGGUAGCCUAGUGGUUAGAGUGUAGGAGCGGCAGGUAGCCUAGUGGUUAGUGUGUAUGGGCGGCAGGUAGCCUAGUGGUUAGAGUGUAGUGGCGGCAGGUAGCCUAGUGGUUAGAGUGUAUGGGCGGCAGGUAGCCUAGUGGUUAGAGUGUAGAGGCGGCAGGUAGCCUAGUGGUUCGAGCGCUGCGCCAGUAACUGAAAUGUUGCUGGAUUAAACAAGUUCUGCCCCUGAACAAGGCAGUUAAUCCACUGUUUCCUGUUAGGCCGUCAUUGUAAAUAAGAAUUUGUUCUUAACUGACUUGCCUAGUUCAAUAAAGGUUAAAUAAAAUUAAAUAAAAGUCAAUCCUGAGCCAUAUAUUAAAUACAUUUAAUGAGCCCAGGCCCAAAAAUCCUUUUAACAAAUACAUAUAUGAUGUAGGCUACUGCACAACAGAAAAACAGAAAAGCCCAUAGAUGUAGUUUACCAUAUGCUCUCUUGGGUAAAUAAAUAAACCUAGCUCCAGUAGGCUAAUCUUUUUUUAGUGUGAACUGUAUUACUGUACUGUAUUAUACUGUAUUAUAUGGACUGGAAUUAUGGACUGGAAUUAUGGACUGGAAUUAUGGACUGGAAUUAUGCACUGGAAUUAUGGACUGGAAUUAUGCACUGGAAUUAUGGACUGGAAUUAUGCACUGGAAUUAUGGACUGGAAUUGUGGACUGGAAUUAUGGACUGGAAUUAUGGACUGGAAUUAUGCACUGGAAUUAUGCACUGGAAUUAUGCACUGGAAUUAUGGACUGGAAUUAUGCAUUGGAAUUAUGGACUGGAAUUAUGCACUGGAAUUAUGGACUGGAAUUAUGCACUGGAAUUAUGUACUGGAAUUAUGGACUGGAAUUAUGCACUGGAAUUAUGCACUGGAAUUAUGCACAUAGUUAAAACCAUGAUAAACCAGGGAGACAUAAGAUUCUGGUGCAUAUGUCGUACAGGUGCAUAUGUCGUACAGGUGCAUAUGUCGUACAGGUGCAUAUGUCGUACAGGUGCAUAUGUCGUACAGGUGCAUAUGUCCUACAGGUGCAUAUGUCCUACAGGUGCAUAUGUCGUACAGGUGCAUAUGUC
This is a long non-coding RNA of Oncorhynchus tshawytscha (Chinook salmon), 3256 nucleotides long. Lineage: Eukaryota; Metazoa; Chordata; Actinopteri; Salmoniformes; Salmonidae. The record is from Ensembl.